Aquila chrysaetos chrysaetos is the source of this 7122-nucleotide long non-coding RNA. RefSeq lists it as uncharacterized. The transcript has 2 exons. The record is from RefSeq and is a predicted model, not a curated record. NCBI's taxonomy places the organism in Eukaryota, Metazoa, Chordata, Aves, Accipitriformes, Accipitridae.
UGUGCAGCAGUUGGCCAAUUUCUUUACCACUAUUAAGAAGAGCGAUUGCCUUCUUAUUAACCUUCUAAUUCUAAGUACCUGGGAGACCUGAGGGUAAUUUUGAUCCAUCAUCCUGACUGCAACCCUGGCAUAAAGCAAGCACUGGGGUACGGCAUCGGGCGAGCGAGCUGGGACAGCUCAGCAAGCGCUGUCUGCUGUGACCAUGCUUGUGCCACAAGUUGGGACGGGCUCUGGGCUGUGGGAGCUCAUCGCUGCACAGCAAUCCCAGUAGCUCUCGAUAAGGAGCCAUGGGAGAUGGGGAGAACGACAAACAUCUGGGACGUUUUGCAAGAAAUAGCACCCGUCUCUUAAUUUGACAUGCAGCCCUACUAGCGAGGCUGCGGCAGAUCAUGAGAAACGCCUUGUCCGUUGGUGGCGGAAAGAAAAAAAAUCCAUAAUGGAGUCUCAAGAACAGAAAACUGGAGAAAAGGGACAUAUCCAGCACGGUUAGGUAGGACUCCGAGGAGAUGGGUGAUCGCGGGAGCGGCAAGAUCCACAAGAGCAAAACCAAAACAGCCAGCGGCAGAGGGAAAGCCCUUUCCUUCUGCGUACAGCACCAGGAGCAGAGAAACCAGGGAGCAGCAGCACGUUGGGGUUUUAUGGCUGUAUUAUUUAUUUAAUAUGUGCUUUCACUUCUCCAGCUCAGAUGAAAUCCAAGAGGGUCAGUCCUCCGGCUUUCCAGGAACAGCUUUAGCUGAUACAAACUGAAGCCCCGGCACAGAGCUGUGCUCUUGCAGGGUCCUAUGCAGCCGAGUGGGAUUUUUUUGGGUUACAACACAGCAUUCCUACAUGGAUGAAGGCAAUCCAGUGGGAAUGAUAAGCACAGCUGGGUGCUCCAACUCUCUGCACUUGCUUCAGACAUCCUAGCAAGAGAGCUGUGGUCUGAAGAGAAGAAACCAAACCAGUCUGGUGGAUGAGCCGUUUGCUAAGGGUUUUUACUGGGUGCUAAGUGGGCUAGGGCUUUACCAAUAAACAGGAGCCCCAGCCUAUGAUCACCCACGGCAGGCUCUGAAUCUGUGAUUGAGGCCCAUUCAAAAGCACACCAAUCUGACUGGAAACCUUUUUUUAAAACAAAUCUUGGGUCAUUAAGUGACUUAUUACACACAUUAGCCAAUGGCCGGGUUGGGGUGAGAGGAAAGGCUAAUGAGAGCUGCUGUUACUGUUUACUAUUAUCUGCACGUUUCAGUUGCUGGUUUGCCCUGGGAAAGAUUAUUCACGCAGGCUGCUUAGCAAAAGGCUGGCCAGACAAUGUCUAUAAUUUUAAUCUUCUUUUUAAUUUUGGUGCCUUGGUGUAAUGGUGCAAUUAGCACUUUCCCAUCUGGGCUCCUCUCAGGCGCAAGACGCGGUGAAGCUGGGCCGCAUCUGCUACACCCCUCUACGUCACCUUAAAAUUAAAUGUGUUACCAAACUUGCACUGCAAAGCGGAGAGGGGUGUGAUGGAUAAUGCUACUGGUUAUUGCAUUUAUUCCAUGCCGUGAGCUGGGCCGUGCAAAGGGGCUGGAGGAAGGGUCAGAGCUUGGGCUUGGUCCCUCAUCCCCUUCCCCUGCCAUCGGCACUAAGCCUGGCUUUGCAAGGGGGCAAAGCCUCACUCCAGUAGCCCAGGCUGCUCAGUCUAAGCCAGGGCAAUUACUAACUUAGUCUUUGUUUUUCAUGCAGGUGCAAGCAAAUAGCUACCCAGACUAAAACCAGCCAGAGAAAAGUUACGUCAAUGAAUUGAUGCAAAUCCCCUUCGGCUUAGGCAAGAUCCUGAGCUGCUCUUCCACAGGGAUGUGUUUUAAAUCAAAAUUGCCAGGGUGAACCUAAGCGUCGUUCAUCCAAAGAGUUGGGCCCUCACUUCAACAGUGUUAGGUUAGUCUUAAAGCUCAUUUAACGUAAGAAAAUAGCUCAAAAUUUCUAGGAGCAAACAGCUCUGGUAGAAAUAACUUACCUAGGUGGGGGAUCAGUACUUGAGCAUACCUCGGUAGCAGGAGAACAAGAGGGCUUUUAAAAAAAGUUACAAAACUGCCGAUGUUUUCCCUUGUUUAAUGUAAGAGGUUUGGUUUUUCUUAUGGCAAGACAGAUCAUACAGUGCAAAAACUAUUAGUAAAUGAUCUGGUGCCAAGCUCCAGUGGGUAGGUCAAUAAUGUCCUGGUGCUCAGCACAUCUGUACGCUCACUAAACUCUCCUGUGCCUUGGGGACCCAUUUCGCUGCUGCGGUGGCACUUCUAUUAGUGGCAGUUCGUGGUUUGCUGGAUUAGCUGAAACCUCAAACACACACCUCCACAGUAAUUGAACAAGAUCUAUACUUAUCCCCUUACAAGGUCUCAUUUAACCUGUAUGUGGGCAGAAAGGCAGCUGUUAAUGUGACGUGGUUCUCUCUACUGGUAAUUUUUUGGCAACACUGGGAAAGAAACCAAUGAAAUAGUAUAUUUAUGUUUAAAAAAAAUAAAUUGAUGUUCAUAUGUUGGCAGCUACUUCUCUCCCAUAUGUACUGCCACAUCAUUUUUUGGAAGCAGCCCCAGCGAGCGAGGUCUAGUGAGGCUGGAGCCGGGGCGAUGCCUCGGUAACAAGCUCUUCCCACCUCCAAAACCCCAAAUUACUCUUGUCUUUCAGUCUUUGAGCACCUAAGCUGGUUAUAGCGGGAUCUCGCUGUCAAUUAAAGCACAUAGCAUCCCUGCGGAUAAGUGAUAACCAUUUAAUAGCAUGGCUAAAAUAAGCAUCCAGGGGUUGAUCCUUGUUUUAUCCAGCAUGGAUAUCCCCUGCAAGGAGCUAUGCUGCCCGCCUGCCUUCAUGUAGCUUCUUGUGGGACUUCUAGUAUGGCUUUAAUUUAGCAAAACCAAGAAGAUAACAAAGAGGGAAUGCGGAUAACUUCAGGGCAGCUCUUGUUUUGUUUUGAGCUGCUUUCAAUAUUGCUUCACAUUUGGUUUUUUCCUUGGAGCAUGCAUACAGUUUCUGCCAGCAAGUAAAAGAGAAUUUCUCACUAGGGCUCUAUCCUUUUCCCCUUGAGAGGGAUUUAGCUGAUACCUACUGAAACGGAUUGAUUAUCUGGUACAAAUAGCCUUUUCACCCUGACGAUCUGCAGUCUGUAUCAAAGGCAGAGGAAAUCUCCCGAAUCACCGGGUCAGAGCAGCCCUGUGCUCGUCCUGGGGGAUGGCUUGCUGUUCCGCAGCAGCCUACGCUCAAUCUGUCCCUCGGGAAACAAACAAACAAAUCCCAAACCUGAUUUAAUAAAUACAGUUCUGUGGGUAUUUUGAACCACCUCAUGGAAAUGAGGAGGAUAUUAUGUUAACAAACAGCUGUAAAAACUUUUAUCCCUGCCAUGAAGUUUGCCACAGAAUGGCCCCAAAUCUCUGGAGGAAGAUCUUACCAUUAAACAAAUCCCUACGAGCUUUAGUGGAGGAUCAGUUACCCCCACUUGGUUUCAUCCUCACAUUUUAUAAGGCUAUUCCACUGGGGAAGAGACAGAUUUUUUUUCCCAGCUGGAAAGAGUAUAUGGGGUUUUGACCAAUGUAACGAUAGGAUUGGGUAUACAACCAUGCACUAAACUCCUGAUAACACUUUGGCAGGAUGCUGACUUAUACACACUCAUGCUGAACCGAGAGCUAUUUUGCAUGCAGUAUUGAAUCAGAUCAGAAAAUGUUCCCAUGAACAAGAAUAUUGAUGUUUAGAUCAAAGAGAAUUAAAAGAAAGGGAUUUCCUCUUGGAUUAAAUUUAUGACAUUUCUCUAAAGCACUGCACAAAUCAGGACAUGAGACACUCAUGUGUCGUGUCAUAAAGUAUAAUUGGGCUAUUGAGCUGCUUGCUUGGAGGGCAAAGGAGUAGCUUGAGAAAAAUGAAGAAGAGGGACCCCCACAGAGUGAUGAAUUACAGUAAGAAAUUUAUAUGAUAUCACUAGUGAGAAAACUAUUUACAAAAAUGUCAGCAAAAAAUUAUUGAACAUAAUAAGUCAAGUCUUGAGGUAAAAGACUUGUCCUGAAAUACUGGUGGUAUCAAAGAUAAGUAUUAAAUAGCUUUUUCGAAGUCCCUGCUCCUGCUUCAAAUGAUGACAGUCAAACACUGGAAUAGAUAUUUUGGAAAUGGAGGAAAGGAAGACAAACAAAUGCAUGUACUCUGUUAGUAAUAAUGUUGACAAAAAGGUUAAGCUCCCCCAGCCUCAGAGGAGGAACAGAGCCAAGAAAAUAUAACUGUUUAGCUUAAAUGAGGAAUGUAACUGAGGUGUAUAUAAUACUAUAUUACAUAUUAUAUAUAUAAUGUACAUAUAAUGAUAAGGAUGAAUAAAACAUGGUGAGAAUAGACUUCAUGUCUCUUAAUGCAUGAGCCGAGGGACACCCACUGAUGCUGAAAGACUAAACUCCCAGUGGAUAAAAGGGAAUGAGUGUGUACACAGAGCUCAAAUUAACCUCCUAGCUCCAGCCAUGGGAUGUCACUGAGAUCAAGGGCUUUGUGGGAGGUCCAAAGCGGACACGGCACUGCUAUGGCUGAUAACAUCAAAGUCAUGUUAGGCUUUUAAAAAAACAAAAGUUUAAAAAAUGGCUGGGUCUAUGUCCUGGAGUGUAAUUGUAGAAAUUCUGUAAUGCACCAACACAAGACCCUUUCCCUUUAUCGCCAGGAGCCUGGACGAGGAUCGAUGGUUUGAUCCUAUGUGAGCAGCCUGUUGCUGAACAGUAAUGGUCGUGGGACCCUCAAAGGCUGGUCCAAAGGCUAUGUCAGGAGGCUGGGGAGAUAUAAAAAUAUACAUGCAUGUGCCUGUGUAUGUGUGUUUUGCAGCUGCUCCUUAUUUAAACUAGGGAGAGGCAUUACAGUCCCAGAGCAAAAAUGCUUCUACUUAUGCCAGUGGCAAGGAAAGGACUGUAUUUCCCAAGUCAAGUUCGAGAAAAGUCCUUUUAACAGGUUUGUGAUGCUGCCUUGUUGAAAACUUUUUUUUCUUUCUUUUGUUUUACAAAAGCCCAACACUCAUCAAAACAUGAAAGAUGAAAUCAAAAAAUAAUGUAGACAGAGCCCAGAUCAGAACUGGAGUUGCUAAAUUCUCCAAAAUUCGGAGACACGCGAUUCCUACCUUGGACCUCCACAGCUCACGCUCACCUUUUACUUCAUUCUUAAGUUUUACUUGUCAACACUUCAGCAUGUGUGUGUGCUGUUGUGAUUAUUCAUUAGCUGGUUUAGCUUGUUGUUUACUGCCACAGAAAGGUUUAGAGAUUUACUAACAGCAUAGUUUAAAGUCUCUGUUUUUCACCACCUUUACAAAUGAAUAGCUUGGAAAGAUUUCACUCCUCUCCUUAGAGAGAGUCAGCGUAAAGAGGAUUUAAAAAUAUAUAAAUAUAAAAAUAUGUAACUUUAAAGCCCCUUUAGAGCUUACCAAUAAACACAUAAAAAAAUUCCUAAGUCUUUACUGUUAAGAGGGAAGGUACCAGUAGGGAUUAGUUAUUUUUGGUCUCUUCUCGUUCCAAGAUCCUUCCCAGUUUUGCUAAGGUUUGCAGUUUUCACGUCAUAAAGUCUAGACAUCCCCGUUGUUAACUUCCUUCCCCUGCUAUCAAAAUUCCAGACCGCUCGUCCAGUGAGUGCCAUCUGAUUUUGGGGAGUUAGGAAGGGCAGAUCGCUCAGCCUGGCGCUCAUCAUCUGGCGGCUUUGCUCCUAAUUUUGGCUCUGAUGUGUGACAUCAAAAUUAACUUUAUUAUGCCCAUUUAUAAAAUAAUUGUGGCUGCUGGGAAUGCUCUGUGGGAAUCACAUCCCCUAACAUCCCUAAACAGAAUCUCCUAUUGCCAUCGCAAGACCAAACACUGGGCUAUUUCUUGGAUCCAGCAUGGCGUUUUUUUAAGCAUCCUGUUAAGAGCAUACUUGCAGGGAAUGCUAAAAUUUUCUCUGAUUUUUCCUCUUGCAGCAGGAUCCCCAGCGUUGCAUGCUGCUGGUUGCUGCAUGUAUGAUGCUUGCAGCCUACCUCCUCUGCGUGCUCAAGUGCACGGGCUGCUCCAGGAAUAGCUCUUUGUUUACACGUCUUUCCUUUCCAAAUCCCACUGAAUUGUCUUUGGCUCCACACCAAGCUACACAGGCCUGUUCCUCCUCUAUUCCAGGGAUAAAGCUUGGUCCGUGCAUGGGGUAUUUGAAGGGAAGAGUAAUUUCUGUGCACCCAAGAGCAUCUCCUGCGCCAGGAGAACUGACACCGGUCUCACGGCUUCGGCCACGGCAUGGUAGCGGAGGGACCAUUGGCAUCAGAAAGAUCUUGAUCAAUAAAUCCUUCCCAUUAUGCCUCAACUCCUUCAUCUCGACCCAUUUGAUGAAGAGCCAUCCACUAGAGAGCAGUGUCACCCAGCCCUUGGUGCCUAAACGCCAGCCCAUCACCCCAAACCCAGAUCAGGAGGGACACAGCCCACAAACUGCACCUUGCAGAUGGGUUCCCACCUUGCAGGGGAUGGGACGCUGUCUCAUUCAUCCCUGGUGCGCUGAAGGGAUGAGAUGUCACUGUGCCAUCAGAUGUCCUACUCGUGGCACAGCCCUCGGCUCUUCUGCUGAGUACGUUACACGGGCUGAGUUAUGUGAGAGCUGGCGGUGGCUUUGAAGACCUUGAAGACCCAGAUCCAGCUCUAAACACACCUAAGCAUCCUAAUGUUCAAAAGAAUGUGUGCGCGGAGGAAGGAAUCUGAUGUUUUGGGUGCAGCAUCUCUUUGGGGAGAAACAGAGCGCAGAAGAGAAUGGAGAACAGAAGAAAGAGAGAAGAGUCUCUGUUUGGGUCUGGCUGGAUUAACUUACUUUGACAUCUUCCAAAAUGCCUCUAAUUCCAACCUAGAGCAUCUUUCUGAGGAAGGGAAAUAAAGGACAGAAAUUUUCUUUGCAUUAAGCAUUUUGGCAAUGCAAUAUUUAGUCCCUUUCUAAGGCUGAUGUACCUCAAUCUUGUGCUAGCGCAGAGGAGAAGGGAAACCAAGGGGAAGGAAAGUCAGGCAGCUCGGGCAAAAACUGCAGGCAAGGACUGGCUUCUGCACUGUCUUUCAUGGACACAUGGGCUGGGGAUGUGCAAAGACUGCAUUGAUUUUGGAAGGCGAGGAGAAAAAUAUCACUAUACAAAAAGGAACCAGACACAUUGAACAAGUUAUUGAAAUGAAUUUAAAAGGG